UGUUAAAAUUUUUAUUCAUUUAUACGGUUAAAAACUGACAUGAUUAACAGAAUAACUAGACAGUGGCACAUAGCGUGCCACAUGUACCUCAUGUUAACAUAUAAUGAUCAAAUGGUAACAAUAAAAAUGGAUAAAAUUUUCAAUA
Gossypium hirsutum (cotton) is the source of this 145-nucleotide non-coding RNA. NCBI's taxonomy places the organism in Eukaryota, Viridiplantae, Streptophyta, Magnoliopsida, Malvales, Malvaceae. The record is from Rfam.